UCCAAUUUGAAGUGAGUACUAUGACUGAGGCAUAGUGCUUGCCAUUGUUUUACCUUGACUUCCUCACUUCGUACACCAAGGAAGUUUAGUUUCCUGCCUCCACCAGAGUGAGGGCAUACUUGGUGUUAGUAAAUUUCAUAAAUAU
RNAcentral lists this long non-coding RNA (145 nucleotides) under Pongo abelii (Sumatran orangutan). Its description in RNAcentral is "lincRNA". Lineage: Eukaryota; Metazoa; Chordata; Mammalia; Primates; Hominidae. The record is from RNAcentral.